GCACCUAUAGCUCAAUUGGAUAGAGCAUCUGGCUACGGACCAGAAGGUUAUGGGUUCGACUCCUAUUGGGUGCGCCA
Molecule: transfer RNA, 77 nt
Filed under: Fusobacteriaceae bacterium
Lineage: Bacteria; Fusobacteriati; Fusobacteriota; Fusobacteriia; Fusobacteriales; Fusobacteriaceae
Description: tRNA-Arg
Rfam family: tRNA
About the family: Transfer RNA (tRNA) molecules are approximately 80 nucleotides in length.
Source: RNAcentral